CAUGGAUUCACCACCAGAGAUAGACGUGCUGGAACUUUGCUGCCAUGAGACAAUCAAUGGAUACCUUCAUUCAGAAGCUUCUGGGACAGUGGCUAAUGUUUGGUUCCUGGUUGUGAAUCACAAUGUUUCGAAAGAUCAACAGUUGUGAUUGUGGGUCAUUUAUUGAAGAGGAGGACCUUAAAGAUCAACGACACAGAAUGGGAAUGGACGUGAUUACUGCCUACACAGACAGAAAGGAAGCAAGGAUCCCCUGUCUAUCUUGUGCUGUGUUGCCUGGUCUGGGACAGUGGUCAUCUCCUGAAGACUCAUGCUUGCUUCACCUAUUAGAACCUGAAUCUUCAACUGAUGGACUUGCCUACAUCUAACUUAAAAGAAAAAUCUAGUUGAGUAACUGACUGUCUCACACAACCCA
This is a long non-coding RNA of Myodes glareolus (Bank vole), 412 nucleotides long. RefSeq lists it as uncharacterized. Lineage: Eukaryota; Metazoa; Chordata; Mammalia; Rodentia; Cricetidae. The record is from RefSeq and is a predicted model, not a curated record.